AGUAGAUGUAGUAGCAGCAGCAGCUGGAGUAGAUGUAGUAGCAGCAGCAGCUGGAGUAGAUGUAGUGGUCUGGGUAACCAAGGAUACAAAGGCAGCUGACCAGCACUAGCUGGUGCAACAGUGGCAGCUGGAGUAGUUGUAGUAGCCGGAGUAGUUGUAGUGGUCUGGGUAACUGGGGGAGUUCCAGGCUGGCCAUAUGGGAAAUUCCAUGGCAUUCCAUAACCACUAGGAUAAUACAUUCCAGAUAACCAAGGAUACAAAGGCAGCUGACCAGCACUAGCUGGUGCAACAGUGGCAGCUGGAGUAGUUGUAGUAGCCGGAGUAGUUGUAGUGGUCUGGGUAACUGGGGGAGUUCCAGGCCGGCCAUAUGGGAAAU
Molecule: long non-coding RNA, 376 nt
Organism: Ictalurus punctatus (channel catfish)
Lineage: Eukaryota; Metazoa; Chordata; Actinopteri; Siluriformes; Ictaluridae
Source: Ensembl